Molecule: ribosomal RNA, 492 nt
Filed under: uncultured bacterium
Lineage: Bacteria
Description: partial 16S ribosomal RNA
Rfam family: Bacterial small subunit ribosomal RNA
Source: RNAcentral
AGUGAACGCUGGCGGUAGGCCUAACACAUGCAAGUCGAACGGCAGCACAGUAAGAGCUUGCUCUUACGGGUGGCGAGUGGCGGACGAGUGAGGAAUACAUCGGAAUCUACUUUUUCGUGGGGGAUAACGUAGGGAAACUUACGCUAAUACCGCAUACGACCUACGGGUGAAAGCAGGGGAUCUUCGGACCUUGCGCGAUUGAAUGAGCCGAUGUCGGAUUAGCUAGUUGGCGGGGUAAAGGCCCACCAAGGCGACGAUCCGUAGCUGGUCUGAGAGGAUGAUCAGCCAAACUGGAACUGGGACACGGUCCAGACUCCUACGGGAGGCAACAGUGGGGAAUAUUGGACAAUGGGCGCAAAGCUUAUCCAGCCAUACCGCGUGGGGGAAGGAGGCCUUCGGGUUGUAAAGCCCUUUUUUUGGGAAAAAAAAGCAGCAGGUUAAUUCCCCGCUGUUCUGACGGUACCCAAAGGAUAAGCACCGGCUAACUUCGUG